GGGGGUGAGUGAGCUUCGACAUGGGUGCGGGUGGCCAUGGCUGCGAGCCGAGCUCCUGCGACUCGUAAAUCCGCAGGGCAGUCAAUAACUGCCGAGCCUGAGUACGCACUGGCUGCCGCGUAAGGCGGCGCCACGCUCGCCUGACGGCCUUCUCGCCGCCGCAGGGCCGAGCGUCAUCUGAGCGAGAUACCCUGGUUGCCUCGCUCCCGGGCGGCCUGGGGAAACCUUAGGGAGCUGGCGGCUGCCAUAUCCGGCCCUCGGGAUCGGGCAGCGGCGAGCACGGACAAACGGGGGAUACGCUCGUAGGUGCCGUGGUGGCCUCGCUCAUGGACGGCGGUGCAACUCCGCCCACCUCCACCA
Molecule: transfer-messenger RNA, 360 nt
Filed under: Limnochordales
Lineage: Bacteria; Bacillati; Bacillota; Limnochordia
Also listed under: 1 other name
Description: Bu05 sp014896295 Standard tmRNA
Rfam family: transfer-messenger RNA
About the family: Bacterial tmRNA, also known as 10Sa RNA or SsrA, is named for its dual tRNA and mRNA-like properties.
Source: RNAcentral